UACGUAGGGGGCAAGCGUUGUCCGGAUUUAUUGGGCGUAAAGAGCGUGUAGGCGGCUUUACAGGUCCGUUGUGAAAACUCGAGGCUCAACCUCGAGACGCCGGUGGAAACCAUCUAGCUAGAGUCCGGAAGAGGAGAGUGGAAUUCCUGGUGUAGCGGUGAAAUGCGCAGAUAUCAGGAAGAACACCCGUGGCGAAGGCGGCUCUCUGGUACGUGACUGACGCUGAGACGCGAAAGCGUGGGGAGCGAACAGG
Molecule: ribosomal RNA, 253 nt
Filed under: uncultured bacterium
Lineage: Bacteria
Description: partial 16S ribosomal RNA
Rfam family: Bacterial small subunit ribosomal RNA
Source: RNAcentral